GUUGGAUUAACUGGGGUUGUGUCUGCUUACCAAUUUGUGUCCAUUUCUCAAACUCUAACCUUCCUUCUUCCCCAAUUCACAUGAAUGAGACGGGGGACGUUGUGACAUUGUCAAGGAAAGCAGCAAUCAGCGGCCCGUCACAAACGUGCGGCAAAUGACGAAGAGAUUAUCCAUCUGCACAACGUUUCUCGAGUUUCUGGAUGCAUUUUGCCAUGUAGAGGAGAUGUGUCCCAUUUUAAACAGGGCUAUGUGUGCGUGUGCGUGCGAAUCUGUCAAGUCCAACUGGCACCGAAAGGCCCCAGGAGCAUUGAACAAUUUCAUUUCUCAUACUCCAAAUUACAUCUAGAUUACAUUUUAACUCCCCAAGUCCCUCAAAGGCUCACCUGGCCACAAUGAAAUAAGCCGAUACCACCAUCUGGACUCCACAAAAGCCUGAUGCAGGAACUAUGCAGCUUACGCAGCGACGUAUCUGCCAGCCUCAAAAACCACAAUGUUACGGCAGCUGUUGGAUUGUAUGGAUCGUAUUGCUUGGAUGAACAUCUACCUCCUGCCAUCCAGUCAGCCCUGCGAGGGUCCUAAACUGUCCUACGGUCACAUGCUUCAACACAACAAGUCUCGGAGACAACAUCAAGCACCAUUUAUCCUUAAAAUAAUAUGUUAAAAAUAUAAACAUAUGUUUUCUUUAUUAUGUCUUCGUGUUGACAGUGUUUCCCUUCAAUAUCCCCUGACCCCCUUAUUUCAGCAUGCUACAGAACCUGUUUUCUGGCAUGUUCCACAUUCUAUGGUAAGAUAAUGGGUUAUAAUAGCAUUGUUUUUAACUCCGGAUUAUCUGUUCUAUGAGGUUCUGUGUGGUGUCAAAGGUUUGCGGUGUGAAAUGAUGCACUGAUGUAACUGCAAAUUGUUUAGCAACCACACUCCCGUAAACAAAUUGCCUCAUGAGUGCUUGCUUCAUUAAAUAUUAAUACGCUUUGUACGAUCAAGAACGUAGUCGCACACUUGUCGCAAGCAACCUUCGUCAUUGAUAUUGAUUUAGAAAAUUGAAAUAAUAUAAUCUGAACAUGUAGGAUUCGUUACCCAGGUUAAAGUAUAAACAGUGUAUAAAACAACAUAAUCCAGGGUUAACAACGUUGCUCUCGUCUUAUUCUUUAUGGUUCCCUUUUAAUUGGACACCCAUUUUACAUCCACAUGUGCUUGUUAAAUAAAACACUUGGCUUACAGCAAGUUGUCUUUUAAUUCAGUUUUUUUUUUUAAUCAAUUUUACUCAUUUGGGAAAGAUUUUUUCAGUAGAUGUUAGAACAAAGCCAGGACAUUUUCUUUACAUUCAGACACAUUCUUUUUGUGUCCACACAA
This is a long non-coding RNA of Triplophysa rosa, 1350 nucleotides long. RefSeq lists it as uncharacterized. The transcript is spliced from 5 exons. The record is from RefSeq and is a predicted model, not a curated record. NCBI's taxonomy places the organism in Eukaryota, Metazoa, Chordata, Actinopteri, Cypriniformes, Nemacheilidae.